AGUAUCGGUAAAUGUACUUGGCGAAUAGGUCAUUAUCAAAAACGUCAUGAAGACAAUAUUCAUUUUUUUUGCUGGUGGGCAGCUUCAAACUACAUUUCAAUGGAAGCUAAUGUUGCUAGAUAUGGUAGAGAUGGCGGUGUCAGAAUACUUAAAAAGGGCUCAAUACGAGGAAAGAGACAGAUACCAGCAGCCCCUGUAGCCAACAUCGAUUUCUUAUCUGCAAGGGCUAAGAAGAGGAGGAUGGACCAGGCAGGUUGUACAAUGGAGCAGGCAACAUCAUCCCUGACUUGGCCUCCCAUUGUGAGUGGAUCGACAAUACCAGGAAUACAAAAAAAACUCAACCAAAAUGCUCCAAAAAGCGUUGCUCUGAUGUUAUGCAGUCAUGGUUACAGGUUACAGACAUGAAGCUGAUGCCAAACAGUAUGCAGAGGUGCCACACCUGAUGGGCUCCCUCAUUGUUACUCCUGGUGCAGGAGUCUGUGAGAUUAAGUGUCCUUACUGCCACCAGGAGGACAUCUUUGUUCAGAGAGUUGGAAAGAAAGAGUUCUGUCUCAUAGAAUCGGAGAGCUCCAGCUGCGUAGAGACCAUGCCAACUACUAUCAAGUUCAGGAGCAGCUUAAUAUUACAGACAUUACACACAUUACUGCAAUUUUGUUGUUUGGAAUAAAAAAUACAUUUUGAGAGAGGCAAUUGCAAAAGCCGAGAUUUUAUAAGCAAUACAUUCUGACAAAAAUGUUGACCGGGAACAAUUAAAUUGAGCUCUGGUAAAUCUAUGGAGCCCGGUAUGCUAUGGAGCCCAGUAUCAAUGUGUUGCUCCUGUAUGAGCUACAAUAAAC
This is a long non-coding RNA of Oncorhynchus keta (chum salmon), 836 nucleotides long. RefSeq lists it as uncharacterized. The record is from RefSeq and is a predicted model, not a curated record. The transcript has 4 exons. Lineage: Eukaryota; Metazoa; Chordata; Actinopteri; Salmoniformes; Salmonidae.